UGCCAGCAGCCGCGGUAAUACGGAGGGGGCUAGCGUUGUUCGGAAUUACUGGGCGUAAAGCGCGCGUAGGCGGAUUGUUAAGUCGGGGGUGAAAUCCCGGGGCUCAACCCCGGAACUGCCCUUGAUACUGGUAAGCUAGAGGAUGUGAGAGGUGAGUGGAAUUCCGAGUGUAGAGGUGAAAUUCGUAGAUAUUCGGAAGAACACCAGUGGCGAAGGCGACUCACUGGCUCAUUUCUGACGCUGAGGCGCGAAAGCGUGGGGAGCAAACAGGAUUAGAUA
This 279-nucleotide ribosomal RNA is filed under the name uncultured bacterium. RNAcentral's name for it is "partial 16S ribosomal RNA". It matches the Rfam family "Bacterial small subunit ribosomal RNA", at positions 506 to 784 of the family's 1533-position model. The record is from RNAcentral.